UAGAACCAGCCUAGAGCGUUGACAGGUGCGUUAAAGCAAAAUCUGCUGCUUUGCCUGCUUCCGGUAUGACCAAACUUCACACUAGCUAAGGUCCAGACCCGGGGAUUUAAUAACUCUCUCCUACAUCUCUCCCUGUCUCCCACUUGACUGUCUGGAAGACCUCUGAAGACGUCUCUAAGGAGCACAGCCAGCAAGUGACAGAGCCUGGUGAGGUACCUGGGCAGUCUGACUUCAGAGCUGGCACCUGUGAUGGCCUGUUCUACUACCCCCUGUCUUGCUCAUUUGACUGUGACCUCCCUUGAGGAAGGGUAAGAGUAGGCCCUAUUUCUUAAAUCUGCACUCUGUAACUUGCCUGAGGCACUCCUCCAUACCUGGCAUUUUCCUAGCAUCUGUGGCCUAAAUAAUCUCUUUACAGGUGAGAAGUCUCCUUAUAUCUCUCUGG
This is a long non-coding RNA of Eubalaena glacialis (North Atlantic right whale), 442 nucleotides long. RefSeq lists it as uncharacterized. The transcript has 3 exons. NCBI's taxonomy places the organism in Eukaryota, Metazoa, Chordata, Mammalia, Artiodactyla, Balaenidae. The record is from RefSeq and is a predicted model, not a curated record.